RNAcentral lists this ribosomal RNA (253 nucleotides) under uncultured bacterium. Its description in RNAcentral is "partial 16S ribosomal RNA". It matches the Rfam family "Bacterial small subunit ribosomal RNA", at positions 524 to 776 of the family's 1533-position model. The record is from RNAcentral.
UACGAAGGGGGCUAGCGUUGUUCGGAAUUACUGGGCGUAAAGGGCGCGUAGGCGGCCCGCUAAGUCGAACGUGAAAUCCCCGAGCUCAACUCGGGAACUGCGUCCGAUACUGGUGGGCUUGAAUCCGGGAGAGGGAUGCGGAAUUCCCGGUGUAGCGGUGAAAUGCGUAGAUAUCUGGAGGAACACCGGUGGCGAAGGCGGCAUCCUGGACCGGCAUUGACGCUGAGGCGCGAAAGCUAGGGGAGCAAACGGG